UAGCAGAGGGGAAAUUCUGAAAUGUUGAUACGACUCCCUGGAUACUACCCUAUGCCUGCUUUCCAUGAUGUACUGAUGUCAUUGAUGUGCCUUUUGUGGUGAGAAGAUUACACAAAUUUGGACCUGAGAUGAGAAAGGAACUAGGUAUUGCAGAUGAUGUUACGGUGGUCAUUUUCUACAUUUGAGGACAGAUUGCCAAGAUAAAUAGAGGAUGCAUGGAUAAGUUGUUUUUGGCAAGGCAGAGAAUGGGACUACUACCAAGAUAGUUUUACGUUAAGUUUCUAGAAAGCCAUUUUCAUGGUCAAUGUAUAUAAAAUGAUGUGAUGUCAUUUUCAGGGUCAAUGUAAAGAAAAUCA
Triticum dicoccoides is the source of this 356-nucleotide long non-coding RNA. RefSeq lists it as uncharacterized. The record is from RefSeq and is a predicted model, not a curated record. The transcript has 4 exons. Lineage: Eukaryota; Viridiplantae; Streptophyta; Magnoliopsida; Poales; Poaceae.